This 254-nucleotide ribosomal RNA is filed under the name uncultured bacterium. RNAcentral's name for it is "partial 16S ribosomal RNA". It matches the Rfam family "Bacterial small subunit ribosomal RNA", at positions 524 to 776 of the family's 1533-position model. The record is from RNAcentral.
UACAGAGGUCUCAAGCGUUGUUCGGAUUCAUUGGGCGUAAAGGGUGCGUAGGUGGCGGGGUAAGUCAGGUGUGAAAUUUCGGAGCUUAACUCCGAAACUGCAUUUGAUACUGCCUUGCUUGAGGACUGGAGAGGAGACUGGAAUUCACGGUGUAGCAGUGAAAUGCGUAGAUAUCGUGAGGAAGACCAGUGGCGAAGGCGGGUCUCUGGACAGUUCCUGGACACUGAGGCACGAAGGCCAGGGGAGCAAACGGG